Oryctolagus cuniculus (rabbit) is the source of this 1820-nucleotide non-coding RNA. Lineage: Eukaryota; Metazoa; Chordata; Mammalia; Lagomorpha; Leporidae. The record is from RefSeq and is a predicted model, not a curated record.
GAGGCCUGAUGAGAUGUGAGCUGCAGAGAAAUCUGAUGGCACUAAUGUACCUGGCAACUCAAGUGAACGUUGGGAGCCCAUCAGGCAGCCUCACAAGAUUCAGCCUUUUCAGCAGGUGUUUGAACACAGUGUAAAAGGCAAAGGGUUCAACAGGAAAAGGGUGUUCUUUACAAAUGAAAGGGCUCAUAUGGGAGACACCUGUAAUAAGUCAGUUGGCAUUGUAGGAAAGACAACUGAACAUGUAAAGAAAACUUUCCAGAAAAAGUCCUACCUCAGUAAACCUCAACAAGCACACACAGGAAAGAAACUUUAUGAAUCUUUUGAGUAUGAGGAAACUCUCAUUUACAAAUCAGAUUUUAUCACAAGUCAAAGAACACAUACAGGAAGAAAAACCUAUUCUUGUAACCCCUGUGGAAAAUCUUUCAAUUGUAAAUCCUGCCUUUCUAUCCAUCAUGGAACUCAGAAAGGGGAAAGGCCCUCUGGGUGUGAUGAAUGUGGGAAAGCCAUUUACCUGAGGUCAGAUACUACAAAUCACAUGACUCACACAAGAUACAAAUCUUUCACAUGUAAAACAUGUGGCAAAGCAUUUUAUUGGAAGUCACAACUCAUUCUACAUCAGAGAAUUCACACAGGGGAGAAACCUUAUCAAUGUAAUACAUGCAGAAAAGGCUUUCAUUGGAAAACAAUCCUUAUUUCACAUCAAGAAUUCACACAAAGGAGAAAUCUUACAAAUGUGAUAUAUGCAGAAAAGCCUUUUCCUGGAAGUCAAAUCUCACUGUACAUCAGAGAAUUCACAUAGGGCAGAAACCUUAUGAAUGUAAUAAAGGUGGAAAAGCCUUUAUCCAAAAGUCAAAUCUAACUUCACAUCAGAAGAUUCACAUAAAUGAGAAACCUUAUGGAUGUGAAAUGUGUGAAAAAACCUUUCGCUGGAAGUCAAACCUCACUACAUAUCAGAGAAAAUUCACACAGGGGAUAAACCUUUUGAAUGCAAUACAUGUGGAAAAGCCUUUUCCCAAAAAUCACAACUCAUUGCACACCAGAUGAUCCACAAAAAGGAAGAAAACUUAUGAAUGUAGUACCUGUGGAAAAUCGUUUUUCCAGAAGUCACAACUCACUCUACAUAAGACGGAGAAGAUUUAUAAAUGCAAAAUGUGUGGAAAACCCGUUUGUUGGAAAUCACAACUCUUUACCCAUCAGAGAAUGCAUAGAUCAGAGAAAAUUUAUGAAUGCAAUACAUGUGGAAAAGUCUUUUGUAAUAACUCACAACUCAUUACACAUCAGAGAGUUCACACAGGGGAGAAACCUUAUCAAUGUGAUGAAUGUGGAAAACAUUUUCCCAGAAUUCAAACUUCAGAAGGCAUCAAAGAACUCACAUGUAAGAGAUAACUUGUCAGUGCUAUGGAUAAGAAAAGACUUUUUGCCAGAAGCUACAUCUCAACAGAAGGCAAAACUCACAAAAAGGAAGAAACACCUUUUAAUGAAGUGAUUAUGAAAAUUCCUGAUGCCAGAAGUCAGUGUUAGGCACACAUCAAAGAACUCACAGGAAAAGUUAUAGACAGUGAGAGAAAGAGAAAGAGAGAAAGGUCUUCCUUCUGUUGGUUCACUCCCCAAAUGGCCGCUAAAGCUGGUGCUGUGACUGAAAGAGCUGGACUGGAAGAAGAGCAACUGGGACUAGAACCAGUACCCAUAUGGGAUACCAGCACAGCAGGUGGAGGAUUAACCAAGUGAGCCAUGGCGCCGGCCCCAACUACGUGGUUUUAAAAGGCCCAAGUGGAAAGGAUUAAAAAGGAGAGAAACAAGAAACAGAAAUAAUGUUGAAG